RNAcentral lists this ribosomal RNA (433 nucleotides) under uncultured bacterium. Its description in RNAcentral is "partial 16S ribosomal RNA". It matches the Rfam family "Bacterial small subunit ribosomal RNA", at positions 29 to 507 of the family's 1533-position model. The record is from RNAcentral.
AACGAACGCUGGCGGCAGGCCUAACACAUGCAAGUCGAGCGAGGACUUCGGUCCUAGCGGCUGACGGGUGAGUAACGCGUGGGAACGUGCCCUUUGCUUCGGAAUAUCCCUGGGAAACUGGGAGGAAUACCGGAUGAGCCCUUUGGGGUAAAGAUUUAUCGUCGAAGGAUCGGCCCGCGUUGGAUUAGGUAGUUGGGUGGGUAAUGGCCUACCAAGCCGACGAUCCAUAGAUGGUUUGAGAGGAUGAUCAGCCACACUGGGACUGAGACACGGCCCAGAAUCCUACGGGAGGCAGCAGUGGGGAAUCUUAGACAAUGGGGGAAACCAUGAUCUAGCCAUGCCGCGUGAGCGAUGAAGGCCUUAGGGUUGUCAAGCUCUUUCAGCUGGGCAGAUAAUGACGGUACCAGCAGAAGAAGCCCCGGCUAACUCCGUG